Molecule: non-coding RNA, 95 nt
Organism: Paramuricea clavata
Lineage: Eukaryota; Metazoa; Cnidaria; Anthozoa; Malacalcyonacea; Plexauridae
Source: the annotation of a GenBank genome assembly
CGCCACUCGAUUGCAUUAUCGGCGGACUGACGUAAUAUAAAGUAUACCUUAUACUUUAUAUUACGUCAGUCCGCCGAUAAUGCAAUCGAGUGGCA